GAUGAACGCUGGCGGCGUGCUUAACACAUGCAAGUCGAACGAAGCAGAUGAGAAAGCUUGCUUUUUUAUUUCGCUUAGUGGCGGACGGGUGAGUAACGCGUGAGUAACCUGCCCUUCAGUGGGGAAUAACAUCGAGAAAUCGGUGCUAAUACCGCAUAACGUAUUUAUGUCGCAUGACAUUUAUACCAAAGGAUUUAUUCGCUGAAGGAUGGACUCGCGUCCGAUUAGAUAGUUGGUGAGAUAAUGGCCCACCAAGUCAACGAUCGGUAGCCGAACUGAGAGGUUGAUCGGCCACAUUGGGACUGAGACACGGCCCAGACUCCUACGGGAGGCAGCAGUGGGGAAUAUUGGGCAAUGGGCGAAAGCCUGACCCAGCAACGCCGCGUGAAGGAUGAAGGUCUUCGGAUUGUAAACUUCUUUGAUUAGGGAAGAAUUUUGACCUACCUAAAGAACAAGUCACGGCUAACUACGUGCCAGCAGCCGCGGUAAAAGUACUCUA
Molecule: ribosomal RNA, 499 nt
Filed under: uncultured bacterium
Lineage: Bacteria
Description: bacterial SSU rRNA
Rfam family: Bacterial small subunit ribosomal RNA
Source: RNAcentral